Molecule: transfer RNA, 75 nt
Filed under: Verrucosispora sp. WMMC514
Lineage: Bacteria; Bacillati; Actinomycetota; Actinomycetes; Micromonosporales; Micromonosporaceae
Description: tRNA-Glu
Rfam family: tRNA
About the family: Transfer RNA (tRNA) molecules are approximately 80 nucleotides in length. Their secondary structure includes four short double-helical elements and three loops (D, anti-codon, and T loops). Further hydrogen bonds mediate the characteristic L-shaped molecular structure. tRNAs have two regions of fundamental functional importance: the anti-codon, which is responsible for specific mRNA codon recognition, and the 3' end, to which the tRNAs corresponding amino acid is attached (by aminoacyl-tRNA synthetases). tRNAs cope with the degeneracy of the genetic code in two manners: having more than one tRNA (with a specific anti-codon) for a particular amino acid; and 'wobble' base-pairing, i.e. permitting non-standard base-pairing at the 3rd anti-codon position.
Source: RNAcentral
CGGCCGUUGGAGCUGUCCGGAAAGCUCGUCACGCUCUCAACGUGAAGAUCACGGGUUCAAAUCCCGUACGGCCGA